This 563-nucleotide ribosomal RNA is filed under the name Nectria sp. G3. RNAcentral's name for it is "eukaryotic LSU rRNA". It matches the Rfam family "Eukaryotic large subunit ribosomal RNA", at positions 62 to 648 of the family's 3401-position model. RNAcentral also lists the same sequence under 7 other names. Lineage: Eukaryota; Fungi; Ascomycota; Sordariomycetes; Hypocreales; Nectriaceae. The record is from RNAcentral.
AAACCAACAGGGAUUGCCCCAGUAACGGCGAGUGAAGCGGCAACAGCUCAAAUUUGAAAUCUGGCUCUCGGGCCCGAGUUGUAAUUUGUAGAGGAUGCUUUUGGUGAGGUGCCUUCCGAGUUCCCUGGAACGGGACGCCAUAGAGGGUGAGAGCCCCGUCUGGUUGGACGCCGAACCUCUGUAAAGCUCCUUCGACGAGUCGAGUAGUUUGGGAAUGCUGCUCUAAAUGGGAGGUAUAUGUCUUCUAAAGCUAAAUACCGGCCAGAGACCGAUAGCGCACAAGUAGAGUGAUCGAAAGAUGAAAAGAACUUUGAAAAGAGAGUUAAACAGUACGUGAAAUUGUUGAAAGGGAAGCGCUUGUGACCAGACUUGGGCUUGGUUGAUCAUCCGGGGUUCUCCCCGGUGCACUCUUCCGGCCCAGGCCAGCAUCAGUUCGCCCUGGGGGACAAAGGCAUCGGGAACGUGGCUCUCUCCGGGGAGUGUUAUAGCCCGUUGCGUAAUACCCUGCGGCGGACUGAGGUUCGCGCAUUCGCAAGGAUGCUGGCGUAAUGGUCAUCAGUGAC